UUUAUGGGUAGAUGAAUACCUGUGUCUUAUAGCUAUUAUAGCAAUUGUGGUGUCAUUUUAGAGCUAAUUCAAAAUGAAGUUGAUUUUUAUCGGGGAUUCGAUUCGCACUUCUGCCUUGGUUCUCUUGUGUGUCAAUGUGGUUGCGAAUAUUUACGACUUGAUUUUGAUAUUAAUGAACUGUAACACAUAUGAAUUCGUUAAACUUCUAGGGAACGAUGUUGCUUAUAAUUCGUACCUUAUUCUGAUCGAAACUUUUUUAAUAAUGAUUGCGAUCAUGCUUAUGAAUAAAAGGUCUUCUUUCGAAGCAACUAUUAGUAUUUCAAUAAAAUACUGGUUAUUCGGGCUCAUCGUCGUGAUCCUAAGUCUGGAAAUUCUGGCUGCGGCCUCGUUUGGAAUUUUACUAUACAGUAGACACGCUGUAGAUAAAUUUUGGAAAAUGAAUAAAGAAAACAUGAGAGACGAACACGCACCUGUUCAUGUGUAUCUACUCGUAGCAGGUUUACUGAUAGGAUUCAUAGCUUUCAAACUGUACUCUGCUGGUGUGUUAUUUAUUUAUGGAAGCAAUAUUGCGAAUCAUGCGUACUGUGAUGGUGAUAAUAAUGACAUCGAACAAGGUGCAACAAGUUAUGAAGGACAACUUAAUGGGCCUUUGCCUUUACCUUAUCCACCUCCUUACGAUGAUCCUCCUAGUUACAGUGAAGUUUUAAAAGGCUGAAAAAUACGUGGGAAACGUUCUAGAGCUAGGUAGGCAUUUUCUAUUCUGAUAUCGACUGCAGUUGAUUGAAGAGGUGCACUACCCAUACCUAAUCGAUGGCCUACAAACUAAGACUUUGUCCAAUUGAAAUGCUUAUCCAUUUACUUAUUAGGAUUUGUCUCUUUUGUAGCUCGUGAUUCAUUAUAUUGUACCUAGCGUACUACUUAAGGUCCCUAUUCAAAAUGAAAAUAUGUUGUGCUGGAUAUUCUGCUGAAAUGCAUGUUGCAAUUGUACUUCUUAUAAAUGUGAUCUCAAAUAUUAUUCUACUGCAAAAUAACAGUUCAGAGUUCCUAAAGUUGAAAGCAAAAGACAACGAAUUAUCAUGGUACCUUAUCCUGAUCCAAACAAUUCUAUCUCUGUUUACGAUCGCUGUUGUGAUGAUUUUCAAAAACUCCGCAUCAAGCAUUGUAAUCUGGAACUGGAUUCAAGUUGUCUUAUUCGGAUUUAUAUUCGCUUUGUUGGCGUAUGAAAUCUUGGGUGUCAUUUUGUUCGCAAUUUGUUCAGUUUAUCAAGAAAGAGAUUUCAAUGAUAUAUGGAAAAUCACACGCAAAAUCAAGAUGAAUGAAACUGUGACCACCGAUUUUCAAAUUUUUGUUGCCAUUGUAUCGAUAUGCUAUUUUGUAUUCAAACAUUAUCUGCAUUGUAUACUUCAGCCUUCAAAUUGCAUGCUGCCACUGUAACGUUUGUUUUCGCUGGUGAAGUAGCAAAAUACAUAAAGACUGAUACGAGAAUCGACAACGAAGAACUUAAUUCUGGCGAAGAUUCAAUUAUUAUAAACUCACUUUCAACUGCCCCUCCUACGUAUGACUCAUGCUUCAUGGAAAUCGAAAAUAUGGACUGGAUGCACUCCCACAAGUUGCAGACGCCGCCGCCAAGUUAUGCAACUAUUUUCAGUUUUCCAGCUCAUUGAAAUAAAUGAAGUACAAGGACGAUUGAUUUACAUGAAAUUAAGAACUGGUAUCAUAUACCUAGACCUACAAUGCCUGAGUGAUAUUACAUUUUCAAAUUUAAAUCUAUUUUUGGUACCUACGUUUUUUUGAAAAGUUCCUAUUUUACCUACCUCAUAGUUUGAUAAUUUCAAAUGAAAUAAAAUUUGAAAACUGACUGCACCAAUUUUUUUUUAAUCAUCCAGUGUUUUGCCUUUAACGUUGGUGGUUUUUUGAAAUUAUAUUUUUUGUGUGGAUAAGGCUGUAAGGGGACAAUAUGCCUUCACUGGCUACACACUAGACAGGGAUACCUAUCGUAAUUCUAUCAGUGAUUUGGAAGUGGUUUCCAGCCAUUGAUGAAUUACCGAAUGAAAAACUUGUAAAAUUUUCCAUUGUGAAGAAAAUAAUGCACAAAAAAAAACAAUUGCUGAUGAGAGACACCCAAGUAUGCAUGGAUCCAAAAUAAGUACUUGGAUCAUCGAUACUACACUACUAAUAUAAUUUUUAGUACUCAGCAUGACCGUAGCGCUAGUAGUUGUACACUCAACCAUGGGGGGGGGGGUCCAUAUUUGUACCUGGGUCCAUAAUUGUACCUUCUCCUCUACAUAUUUUCACACCAACCAUUAAGGCCAGAUGUGAAAAGCUCGUAAGUUCAUGAAGUUCGAUUCUUUCUAAACUCGAGACGAUCAGCCAAGUCAAGAAGAAAUUCAACUUCACUUGUUGAUUUGGGCUUCUCCGUGUAGGUCUGGUAGUAGGGAGUAAUAGCCAAUAGGUCCAAUCCACUCUUAUAUAUGUAAGUUUAGUGCUUGAGUCUCAGGUCCUCCGCCUUAAGUGAUUCGGCUUUUGGGGAGUAAAUGUGUACGUAUUAUUUAUAAAAAGCGAUCCUACUUAUCCCACUAUACUGUGGAAUAUCUUUUCUUGGUUCAAAUGUGUAGAGUUUUGUAUAUUCAGAAUUAAUGGAAACUUGUUAUAAUUAAUUUCAUCAGUUAUAACAAAGUGUUCGUAAUUAU
This is an RNA transcript of Planococcus citri (citrus mealybug), 2690 nucleotides long. RefSeq lists it as uncharacterized. The transcript has 8 exons. Lineage: Eukaryota; Metazoa; Arthropoda; Insecta; Hemiptera; Pseudococcidae. The record is from RefSeq and is a predicted model, not a curated record.